Molecule: long non-coding RNA, 743 nt
Organism: Mercenaria mercenaria
Lineage: Eukaryota; Metazoa; Mollusca; Bivalvia; Venerida; Veneridae
Exons: 2
Source: RefSeq, a predicted model, not a curated record
AAUAGUUUUGUCCUUGCUUCCAAUUCUUUUGUUCCACACACUGAUGACUAAUAUUUAAAACAGACAUUGCAAAUUUUAUUAAGAUGUGCCCUAGAAGGAACUUUUGCUAUCCUUUAACUUGUGAUAAUAAAUAAUUCGGUUUCUAUAAAACUUAUGAACUUCCCUAAAAGUCCUAUAUAUGUCCUACAGCAUCCUCUCUAUAAUAAAGUAGUACUAUUUUCAGGUCAUGUUACAACGCGUUACAAUGGUUUGUUGAUUGGCAGUUGUAAUGGGCGUGGUUACGUCGGAUACAUUGAUGACUUCCGUCUGUACAGAUGUUUAGUUGAAGGAGCCGGAAAGAGUAACUACAAUGCGCUAGGGAACGGAGGGAUGGAUGCAGCGGGCACAGCCCUUAAUAUGCCAUAAAUUCUUGGACAGUCAAAUGUUGAGAUUGUUUACAGCAGGGGCUUUUGAAUGCAAAGGGACGCAAAUAUUGCCCGUCAUGAAAUGAUGAGAUUUAUUAGGCUGUAAUGCAUUGUAAAUAAGCAUUUGAAGACAUUUAUUUUUCUAAGGCUCCUGAAGACAUUUUAAAAACAAUAUUAGGCUGCUGGAGAUGAAAGCCUUAAGAAAAAACAUUGCUUUUGCGCAUUCAACUCUUUACCUCUGUGGAAUUGUUUUGAUCAGUUCUUGCGACUGAUGGACAGAAAUUGUGAUGUCAUUAUUUUUCAUUCAUAUGUAAAACAAUAAAUCGUAUUUAUAUAUCA